This 1080-nucleotide ribosomal RNA is filed under the name Frigoribacterium sp. 684G65. Its description in RNAcentral is "bacterial SSU rRNA". It matches the Rfam family "Bacterial small subunit ribosomal RNA", at positions 56 to 1146 of the family's 1533-position model. Lineage: Bacteria; Bacillati; Actinomycetota; Actinomycetes; Micrococcales; Microbacteriaceae. The record is from RNAcentral.
UGCAAGUCGAACGGUGAAAGAGGAGCUUGCUCCUCUGGAUCAGUGGCGAACGGGUGAGUAACACGUGAGUAACCUGCCCUUGACUCUGGGAUAAGCACUGGAAACGGUGUCUAAUACCGGAUACGAGCUUCAGCCGCAUGGCUAGGAGCUGGAAAGAAUUUCGGUCAAGGAUGGACUCGCGGCCUAUCAGCUAGUUGGUGAGGUAAUGGCUCACCAAGGCGACGACGGGUAGCCGGCCUGAGAGGGUGACCGGCCACACUGGGACUGAGACACGGCCCAGACUCCUACGGGAGGCAGCAGUGGGGAAUAUUGCACAAUGGGCGCAAGCCUGAUGCAGCAACGCCGCGUGAGGGACGACGGCCUUCGGGUUGUAAACCUCUUUUAGUAGGGAAGAAGCGAAAGUGACGGUACCUGCAGAAAAAGCACCGGCUAACUACGUGCCAGCAGCCGCGGUAAUACGUAGGGUGCAAGCGUUAUCCGGAAUUAUUGGGCGUAAAGAGCUCGUAGGCGGUUUGUCGCGUCUGCUGUGAAAACUGGAGGCUCAACCUCCAGCCUGCAGUGGGUACGGGCAGACUAGAGUGCGGUAGGGGAGAUUGGAAUUCCUGGUGUAGCGGUGGAAUGCGCAGAUAUCAGGAGGAACACCGAUGGCGAAGGCAGAUCUCUGGGCCGUAACUGACGCUGAGGAGCGAAAGCAUGGGGAGCGAACAGGAUUAGAUACCCUGGUAGUCCAUGCCGUAAACGUUGGGAACUAGAUGUAGGGGCCAUUCCACGGCUUCUGUGUCGCAGCUAACGCAUUAAGUUCCCCGCCUGGGGAGUACGGCCGCAAGGCUAAAACUCAAAGGAAUUGACGGGGGCCCGCACAAGCGGCGGAGCAUGCGGAUUAAUUCGAUGCAACGCGAAGAACCUUACCAAGGCUUGACAUAUACCCGGAAAAGUUCAGAAAUGUUCUCCCCGCAAGGCCGGUAUACAGGUGGUGCAUGGUUGUCGUCAGCUCGUGUCGUGAGAUGUUUGGGUUAAGUCCCGCAACGAGCGCAACCCUCGUUCUAUGUUGCCAGCACGUAAUGGUGGGAACUCAUAGGA